This is a long non-coding RNA of Juglans microcarpa x Juglans regia, 1138 nucleotides long. RefSeq lists it as uncharacterized. The transcript is spliced from 2 exons. The record is from RefSeq and is a predicted model, not a curated record. Lineage: Eukaryota; Viridiplantae; Streptophyta; Magnoliopsida; Fagales; Juglandaceae.
CAAGCAUAACUUAGGUCCGACACUGUUUGGUAAGAAUAUAGAGGCCGGCCGGAGACUUCUUGAUGGUUGAAAAUCUACCCAAAUCCGUGGUUCUCCCACUUUCCAGCCCUGUCCACAGUUCCUGGCCCUGAUAAAUGAGAACGUCAGAUGUCAAUAUUCACGAAGAAAAAAAGGGACUGCUGGAUGGUAGGUGGCUGGGGAUUGAGAUUGCUCCUGCGCGCCAGGGAAUGGCUUCCUAAACCCAUACUUCCCUAAAUUUACUCUUCCACGUUCUCAACCCCCCAUCUACCUCACCGGCCCACAUGACUUCCCUUCGAUAAGUACCAUCUUUAUCUGUUAGUCAAUGCCAGCUGCUGCUCUGAUACACAUGACGGUCAAUUAAAUUUGAUAUGCAGCGGCUGGAAAAUCUCUUCUUCAAGGUUGCAGCUGCUAGCUAGCUGCUUGUGUUUUAUGUAUUUGUACGGGUUAUUGAUGAUGAUGAUGAUGAUCAUUCGGUGAGUGGUUUCCAUGCCAACCUUGUCAAGUGAACAGUGUCUUCCAGGUUACCUUUAUCUCGUUGUCUGUUCGACCUUGUGCUCAUGAUAUUGUUCAUAUUUUCUAAAAGGAUCACAUAAAAACCGUAAGUAAGAGAAAAAGACAUCAACUUAGUAAUUAACAGCUAGGUUUAACAGAUUAGUUUAUGUGGUUUUGCUAGCUUCUACUCGAUCUAGACAGCAUCAUGCAGAGAUCGAUGGAAAUCACAAAAAUUAUGGCUUGUUUGCAUUUCUAUUAAUUUUGUUUUCCUUGUCUUCUACUGCAUCUUGAUCAAUUUCAUCACUCUUAAUGAGUUAGCUCCCAACAAACAUGUUUAGUUUCAGUUUCCUUUGCUAGUACUUGUCAUCAUGUUUUCUUACCUCUCGUUUAACACAUUUGGUGGCGUUUGAAACCUCCUUUGUAAAACAGGAAAGAAAAAUUUUCAUUCAUGAUCAUCAGCUAGCAAGCUAGCCCUCAAAGGAAAGAGCAAAACAUGUAUAUAUGUAGCCUUCAGGACACUGGUUUUAAGAUCCCAAAAGGCAUUUCUAUGUUUUAUUUUGAGAAGUACUAUAAAUACAAAGAGAUUAAGUAAACUAAAUUCACAAACUGACGUGACUUCAUGUAA